Long non-coding RNA from Rana temporaria (common frog), 610 nucleotides. RefSeq lists it as uncharacterized. The transcript is spliced from 4 exons. Lineage: Eukaryota; Metazoa; Chordata; Amphibia; Anura; Ranidae. The record is from RefSeq and is a predicted model, not a curated record.
GAAAGGAGCUACGCACUGAACGACGAGUGUGAACCCCGAACACUGAUCCGUCCUAUCGCUCUCUGAAACAAAUAAACUCUUGUUAGUCAUGGGGCCGUCCUCUGGAUUCCUGCUGGUACUGAUUGGAGUCUCCUUCAUACUAACGCAUGCUGGACCAGUUGCUGACACUGAGUGCCCACCAAAUCAAGAGUACCAACAGUGCGGGACCGCCUGCCCACUUACAUGCAGCAAUGUGAACAACAAACUCCAGAUGUGCACCCUGCAAUGUGUCCCUGGAUGUUUCUGUAAGAGCGGAUAUAUAUUUCUGGAGGGGGGUGAUCACCCCACUUGUGUCCUUCCCCAGGAUUGCCCCUCUAGAAAAUAAACAUCCAAAUCGGGCCUUACCGGGUAAAGGCUUCCUGUGAAAUACGUCCCCCCCCCCCCUCCCUCUCAGAAUGCAGAAGAUUACAGAGAGAUAAAAUAAAGACAGGCUCUGGUACUUAUACUAGUUAUACAAAUAGUUUUUUUUAUAUAUGUUUUAAUGUUGGCCAUACCUUUGGUGGUUGUUUCAAAGCGUUAUUAAAUUCAAAACCAAAAAUGGAAUAUAUUGACAGAGUAGGAAGAAGGGGGU